CUUUGGACUGCUCCACUUCGGGUGGAGUUAUAUAUUGGACAUUGAAUAGGAGGACAGAAAACAUGACGAUUUCUUGAGGCUGGAACACAUUAAGGGUUUGUCUUGAACCAGCGACAUGCUUACUGAUACCCAGCAAAAAGGUCCAAAGACACUGACAUCUGCUCCAGAUGCUCUACUGUUUGCUGGAAUUUCGACAAACAUCUGCCCUGUGGAUGAUGUUGAUGCUCGGACAAUCUUUGAUUAAUCCCUAAGCAGGUUCAUUGGGUAGGAUUGUAAUCAACAUUUUCCAGUUUAAAGAUGGAACUGACCGUUGUAAGGAUGCUCAAGAAUCUGUCGUGAACGGUUCCCCUGUUUCUGAAGAGUUUAAGUUACAGGUGAUCAAAGAAGAAGCUAGCGGAAGAGAAAAAAAUUGUUGUGUUUUUUUUGUAGGCCACAGUUGAGAAACCGAAUUCAGAGAUCAGUAUUUUAUCACUGUUAUUUUGAAUCGUGGUGUCUAUUGCGUCGCUAGUAGUUUCUCUGUUUUAUUCUUGAUUGGUUGUUUUCUUUGGACUGCUCCACUUCGGGUGGAGUUAUACAUUGGACAUUGAAUAGGACAGAAAACAUGACGAUUUCUUCUUGAGGCUGGAACACAUUAAGGGUUUGUCUUCAACCAGCGACAUGCUUACUGAUACCCAGCAAAAAGGUCCAAAGACACUGACAUCUGGUCCAGAUGCUCUACUGUUUGCUGGAAUUUCGACAAACAUCUGCCCUGUGGAUGAUGUUGAUGCUCGGACAAUCUUUGAUUAAUCCCUAAGCAGGUUCAUGGGGUAGGAUUGUAAUCAACAUUUUCCAAUUUAAAGAUGGAACUGACUGUUGUAAGGAUGCUCAAGAAUCCGUCGUGAACGGUUCCCCUGUUUCUGAAGAGUUUAAAUUACAGGAGUAAGAUACAAAAGGCUUGAGUUCUGGAAAUUUGGAGAAAAGGGCGACAAUUGCUUCCGGCCCUGUUAUGAGUGAAGCCACGCGCUGAAUGAAGGCUCGGGUUUACAUCGGUUGCAUGAAAACCGGCCAAAUCUUGCACAUAAGUAAAAGCUUUUAUUACUCUUCCUCUCUGGUUCUGUAAUAAAAUUUAAAUCUAUGAUGGUCAUUGCCCUAUCUUGCCUGUGUUUGAAAAUGUUAUCGUAUUUCUUCUUGGGUUCUUAAAUCAUGUCUCCUAUUUGACGGAGGAGUAAGAUACAAAGGACCUGGACCUGAGUUUUUGAAAUUUGGGGAUUAGGGCGACAAGUACUUGCAGUCCUGGUCUGGUUUACAUCGACUGCAUGAAAACGACGACAAGUACUUCAAGCUCUGUUCUGAAUGAAGCCACACACUGAAUCAAGCCUCAGGUUUACAUCGAUUGCAUGAAAACCGGCAAAAUCUUGCACAUAAGAUAUAAAGGACCUGAGUUCUUGAAACUUGGAGAAAAAGGCGACAAGUACCUGUUUUGAAUGAAACCACACGCUGUAUGAAGCCUCAAGUUUACAUUGGUUGCAUGAAAACCGGCCAAAUCUUGCACAUAAGUAAGCUUUUAUUUCUCUUCUUUCCUGUACAUAUAAAUAUGGGUAAAACCCUCAUUGUUGGAAUUUCCCUAUUUCAAGAUUUUCGAGUAUAGUAUAGGUAUAGACACGCUUCCUUUUAUUGUGAUGUAUAUGCAACUAUGCUUGGAGCAACAUUAGCCGUGCACCGAAUGAAGCCUCGGGUUUAUAUGGGUUACAUAAAAGACUGUUUAGCUCUUACACAGUCGUAAGCUUUUAAAACUCUUCUUUCCUAGUUCUGUAAUAAAAUCAGUGGUGGUUGCUGCCCUUCUUGCUUGUAUUUGAAAAUGUUAUCGUCUUUCUUCUCGGGUUAUUAUAACUUGUCUCGUAGUUGACAGACAACUAAGACACCAAGGACCCUCGAGUUCUAAAAAUUUGGGAGAAAGGGCAGGAAGGACAUCAGGUAUGCGCUUUACAAGUAUGAAAACGAGGAUUUCCCUUUAGGAGUGUGGUUUGUUGGAGUGGUCGUGGAAUUCGUAAAUGGUCGCAAACUGCGUUGCAGUUCUAUGCGUAAGUGUUUUUCUUACUGAAAGCAUAUUUCUUUUCUGAGAGAAGUUAGAGGUCUCAACGUCUGUGGGAAGGAAAUACUAGUCCUUUUCAUGCUGUCCUUUUAACAUAAUUUUCUCUUCUUAAUGAAGAAGUUGUACACAUGAUACAAACUGGUUUUUGUUGUUUAAAAGACAAAACCUGCAACCUGGUACUGAUACCAAGCAAAAAGCUCCAAAGACACUGAUAUCUGCUCCAGGUGAGUUGGAAAUAGUUUUAGUCUUAGGUUGUGUUGAAACAUUGUUCUGAAAAUUUUGGUGUUCUUGCCAAUUUUUCAUUUCUUUGGUUCGAGUAGUUUAAUCGUUUGCGCCAUGUGUUGGUCUAAGAUGUUGUACUGUUUGCUGGAACGUCGAAAAAAAAUCUGCCCUGUGGAAGAAGUUGAUGCUCGGACAAUCUUUGUAAGUAAUGUAAUUAAUUAUGCAUAUGGUAUCAGUGGAUGAGAUAAAUCUUUUGUGUCUUUGCCCGUUUUCCUAUUCCUAUUCUUUCUGUACUAGCAUGGUACUGUAGCUAGCCGCCUCUUCACCCUUCAUUUUUCUGUACGAGGGCUCUUAUUACAUAUGAUGGGUUUUUAUACAUUUCCUGAGGCAGGUGGUUGAAAUUACUCUCUUUCGCGUUGCUAUAUGUAUUUUAGUAUUAAAAAACUGUCUUUUACGUGUUGUUAUACCAUGAGUCUCUGAGAUUGGCUACCAAUUUCAACGUAGGUUGUAGAUUUCUAUGUCUAUUAUUAUAUAUUUAUGGUUAUUCUUGAACAUUAAUAUCUAGUAUAUUUUGAAUAGUUCAUGCCUAGUUUUAUUUCCCGGUUUUUCUGUCAUUGUUUUACUGUUACAUAAGUUAUUGAAAACACAAUUGAGAGAGAAUUCCUGUAAGUGCUUGGACGGAGGGCAUUUUAAAUAUCUCCUUAAUUGGUAAAAUUGCUAAAGAAACAUUGCACGACGUGGAGAAGUGUUUGUUGGUGACGCAAAGGCAGAGUACUGAUGGAUAAGAGUUUGUUCUAAGGGCUGUAUCCGUCAUUGGGGUUUCUCGCCGCCUCUGAAGACUCUGGUAUUUUUUUGUUUUGAAAUGGAUAAUCGUUUGAUCCAAUAAUUUUCGGAUUUUCUUUCCAAUUAAGAGGUGGAACUGACUGGUGCAAGGCUGUUCAAGAAUCUGUAAUGAGUGGUUUCCCUAAUUCUGAAGAGUUUGUCAUAGGUGAUCAAAAAAAGAAGAUCGAGGGAGAGAAAGGAAUUGCAAUGCGUUUUUUCCUAGGCCAAAGUUGAGGAACCGAGUUCAGAUAUCUUUAUUUUGUCACCAUUAUUUCUACUCGUGAUGUCUUUUUCUUACCAAUUUGAGAUUGCGUAACUUGUACUUUCUCUGUGUUAUUCUUGAUUGGAUGUUUUCUUUGGACAGCGCUACUUCGGGUGGAGGACAGAGAACAUGACGAUUUCUUGAGGCCGGUAAGAUGUUCCUAUCGUGAAUUUCUCGGAAUUUUCUCACUUCUCUUGUUUCAUUGAGAUAAGCUGUGUUACUGCGAUUUUUACGUUAAUUAGUGAGGGGUAAAACUUUGAGAAGGUUUCCGAGGUCAAGGUAGUCUAUGUGUAGGUCAAAUAGUCAGUGUCAUCUAUCAGGUAGAUUGUCAUGAUAGUUCUUGCGUAUAGACCAGUUAAGAGAUAGUUCUACCUGAUAGAUGACCCAUUCUUAUGGGAGGUUGAGAGGGAAUCUAGUCCUAGGUCCCCCGCAUAGGUCACUGUUACUGGACAAGUGGCGGUACAGCCACUUGAGGUUUCGGGAGUUGCAUUUAUCUUACAACUGAGUCCUUGAGAUUGGUGGAGAAAGAAUUGGGAACUCCAAAUCUCAAGAGAAGAAAAGAGGAGUUGAUAUGAUCUCGAAUCUACGUUUUAAAACUAGACAAUAGAAUGGAAAUCCCAAGAUCUCUAAGAGCCGAAUAACGCAAACCUAGAUAGAAUCGUGAUAAAAAUUCCUAAGCCCACGCUCCAUCUCAUAAAUCUUGAAAAUAUGUGAAUUAUGUCACAAGCACUUGUGUUUAGUACUUGGUAAGUUGAUACAAGGAGUUUGAUUGCUAUUUCACUUGCGUUUAGUAAUAGUACCUGAUAAGUCGAUGAACCCUAUAUGAUACAAUGAGUUUGAUUGCUAUUUCUCGAAUUUACUUCAAAAAAGUACUCUCAGAUUUAUAGGAAAAGUGUUAUUUGUUCUACAGUGAACCAAAGAAUAGAGAUAUAAAGGCAAAAACCCUAAAACAUGUCUAAAAUGGCGAGUUUAAUUAAACUCACGUAAAAAUGCGAAAAUAAUGAAACUAUCAAUUGAUUGAUCAUGAGCAGCCACGAUCGAUCGGUUGAUCGUACUAUGUGAGCAAAAAUACCAAAAUCUCUCAGUUGGGACGAUCGAUCGAUCUUCUGGGUAGUGAUCGUGUAACGCCCCGAGGCCGCUACGGAAUGAUAGAGCUGUCCCCACACACCAACACAGGACCUUUU
This is an RNA transcript of Tarenaya hassleriana, 4561 nucleotides long. RefSeq lists it as uncharacterized. The transcript has 12 exons. Lineage: Eukaryota; Viridiplantae; Streptophyta; Magnoliopsida; Brassicales; Cleomaceae. The record is from RefSeq and is a predicted model, not a curated record.